This 468-nucleotide ribosomal RNA is filed under the name Alternaria sp. FL2011-b. RNAcentral describes it as "eukaryotic LSU rRNA". The stretch from base 93 to 246 matches the Rfam family "5.8S ribosomal RNA". Lineage: Eukaryota; Fungi; Ascomycota; Dothideomycetes; Pleosporales; Pleosporaceae. The record is from RNAcentral.
ACUUCUUGUUUCCUUGGUGGGUUCGCCCACCACUAGGACAAACAUAAACCUUUUGUAAUUGCAAUCAGCGUCAGUAACAAAUUAAUAAUUACAACUUUCAACAACGGAUCUCUUGGUUCUGGCAUCGAUGAAGAACGCAGCGAAAUGCGAUAAGUAGUGUGAAUUGCAGAAUUCAGUGAAUCAUCGAAUCUUUGAACGCACAUUGCGCCCUUUGGUAUUCCAAAGGGCAUGCCUGUUCGAGCGUCAUUUGUACCCUCAAGCUUUGCUUGGUGUUGGGCGUCUUGUCUCUAGCUUUGCUGGAGACUCGCCUUAAAGUAAUUGGCAGCCGGCCUACUGGUUUCGGAGCGCAGCACAAGUCGCACUCUCUAUCAGCAAAGGUCUAGCAUCCAUUAAGCCUUUUUUUCAACUUUUGACCUCGGAUCAGGUAGGGAUACCCGCUGAACUUAAGCAUAUCAAUAAGCGGAGGAA